UGGGGAAUCUUGCGCAAUGGCCGAAAGGCUGACGCAGCGACGCCGCGUGGGGGAGGAAGGGCUUCGGCUCGUAAACCCCUGUUGCCCGGGGCGAACAUCCCCUUUCGAGGGGACUGACGGUACCGGGUGAGGAAGCACCGGCUAACUCCGUGCCAGCAGCCGCGGUAAUACGGAGGGUGCGAGCGUUGUCCGGAAUCACUGGGCGUAAAGGGCGCGUAGGUGGCCGAGCAAGGUCGCGGUGAAAGCCCGGGGCUCAACCCCGGGUCGGCCGUGGCAACUACUUGGCUUGAGCACUGUAGGGGCGGGUGGAAUUCCGGGUGUAGCGGUGGAAUGCGUAGAGAUCCGGAAGAACACCGGUGGCGAAGGCGGCCCGCUGGGCAGGAAGGCUCGCAAGAGCCGGCUGACACUGAGGCGCGACAGCGUGGGGAGCAAACAGG
Molecule: ribosomal RNA, 437 nt
Filed under: uncultured bacterium
Lineage: Bacteria
Description: bacterial SSU rRNA
Rfam family: Bacterial small subunit ribosomal RNA
Source: RNAcentral